Molecule: long non-coding RNA, 1770 nt
Organism: Macaca fascicularis (crab-eating macaque)
Lineage: Eukaryota; Metazoa; Chordata; Mammalia; Primates; Cercopithecidae
Source: Ensembl
UUUUUUUUUUUUUUUUUUUUUUAAGAGACAGGAUCUUGCUCUGUUGCCCAGGCUAGUGGUGUGAUCUUAGCUCACUGCAGCCUCCACUUCCCAGGUUCAAGUAAUUCUUGUGCCUCAACCUCUGGAGUAGCUGGGAUUACAGGCACGUGCUUUUUGUAUUUUUUGUAGAAACGAGGUUUUGCCAUGUUGACCAGGCUGGUCUUAAACUCCUGGCCUCAAGCAGUCCACCCGCCUCGGCCUCCCAAAAUGCUGGUAAUUACAGGUGUGAGCCACCGUGCCCGACCGCUUUUUUUACCCAACAGUAUAUCAUAGAUAUAACCAUGUCUGUGCAUAGAAAUUUACCUUAUUUUUUUUUAAUGGUGCAUAGUAUUUCAUAAUAUAGGUAUUCUACAUUUUGAGUCAUUACUGAGAUGGUUUGUAGUUUUUUCCAUUUCAACAAAUGCUGCAGUAAACCUAUUUGCCAAAUUUCCUGGUGCACAUGUGUUUUUAUUUUGUUUUGUUUGGUUUUAGACAGGGUGUGGCUCUGUUGCCCAGGCCGGAGUGCAGUGGCGCGAUUUUGGCUCACUGAAAUCUCUGCCUCCUGGGCUCAAGCAAUCCUCCCACCUCAGCCUCCAGAGUAGUUGGGACUACAGGCGAAUGCUACCACACCCGGCUAACUUUUAAUGUUUUUUCGGUAGAGACAAGAUUCCACUAUGUUGCCCAGGCUGGUCUCCAACUCCUGGCUCAAGUCAUCUGCCUGCCUUGGUCUCCCAAAGUGCUGGGAUACAGGAAUGAGUCACUGCGCCUGGCCCCAUGUGUUUUUGUAGUAUAGGUGUGGAGAAGUGGAAUUUCUGAGUCAGAGUUACAUACAUUUAAAUUUCAAUAGAUUUGCCAAAGUACCUACACAAAUGUAUGCACUCCCACUAAUGCUUAGAGUGUUAGACAACUUUGAAGUUUUGGCUUCUCUAUGGUUGAAAAAUCUUACCCCAUUUUAGUUUGUAUUUCACUAAUUCUGAAAAGGUUGAAUUUUUUUUUCUUAUGAUUACUAGCUAUUUGUCUUUUCUCUGAAGAGGAACUCUGAGUUCAGUGUUUUUAUUGGGUCAUUUCUCUUUUGCUUGCUAGGUUUCUAGAAGUUCGCUUUAAUAUACAUUAGUAUUCUAAGUGCCAAGCCUUUCUUCUAUUUUUUUUUUCUUUUGUAAUUAAAACGACCCCAUUUUGCAGGGGAGAGGCUAUUUUUGUGGUACAAAACUUUUAAAUUUUCCCAACCUUUGGGUUAUGAGUUCUGCUUUUUCAGGCUCUAAGAAGGUCUUCUUCACUUUAAGGUCAUAAGCAUAGGGUUUUAUUUCCUUCUGAUAUUUUUAUAGUUGUAGGUUGAUUUUGAUGUGCUUGUGGGACCUUUGGAUAAAUAAAGCAACUUCAAUCUCUUCCAGUCUUUUAGCAAGUAAACAUAUUCCUACCACUUCAGGUAUCUUGAAUUUACAAUUGUGUUUUCCACCCUAUUUCCAGUUUGGCAGUGAGGGGGCUUUCAGAUGGGGGCUAAAUAAACAAUAUAGAAAUAUCCUAUUUUAGGGUCUUAUGUUCCUCUUUAAAAUCCACCGUAACAAUAGCCAAGAUUUGGAAGCAACUUAAAUGUCCAUCAACAGAUUAAUAGGUAAAGAAAAUGUGGUACAUAUACACAAUGGAGUACUAUUCAGCCACAAAAAAAGAAUGAGAUCCUGUCAUUUGCAAUAACAGGGAUGGAACAGGAGGUCAUUAUGGUAAAGGAAAUAAGCCAGGCACAGAAAGACAAAC